Molecule: ribosomal RNA, 400 nt
Filed under: uncultured bacterium
Lineage: Bacteria
Description: bacterial SSU rRNA
Rfam family: Bacterial small subunit ribosomal RNA
Source: RNAcentral
UGGGGAAUAUUGCACAAUGGGGGAAACCCUGAUGCAGCGACGCCGCGUGAGUGAAGAAGUAUCUCGGUAUGUAAAGCUCUAUCAGCAGGGAAGAAAAUGACGGUACCUGACUAAGAAGCCCCGGCUAACUACGUGCCAGCAGCCGCGGUAAUACGUAGGGGGCAAGCGUUAUCCGGAUUUACUGGGUGUAAAGGGAGCGUAGACGGCGCUGCAAGUCCGGAGUGAAAGCCCAUGGCUUAACCAUGGUACUGCUCUGGAAACUGUGGAGCUUGAGUGCGGGAGGGGCAGGCGGAAUUCCUAGUGUAGCGGUGAAAUGCGUAGAUAUUAGGAGGAACACCGGCGGCGAAGGCGGCCUGCUGGACCGUAACUGACGUUGAGGCUCGAAAGCGUGGGGAGCAAA